AGUGAACGCUGGCGGUAGGCCUAACACAUGCAAGUCGAACGGCAGCACAGUAAGAUCUUGCUCUUACGGGUGGCGAGUGGCGGACGGGUGAGGAAUACAUCGGAAUCUACUUUUUCGUGGGGGAUAACGUAGGGAAACUUACGCUAAUACCGCAUACGACCUACGGGUGAAAGCAGGGGAUCUUCGGACCUUUCGCGAUUGAAUGAGCCGAUGUCGGAUUAGCUAGUUGGCGGGGUAAAGGCCCACCAAGGCGACGAUCCGUAGCUGGUCUGAGAGGAUGAUCGGCCACACUGGAACUGAGACACGGUCCAGACUCCUACGGGAGGCAGCAGUGGGGAAUAUUGGACAAUGGGCGCAAGCCUGAUCCAGCCAUACCGCGUGGGUGAAGAAGGCCUUCGGGUUGUAAAGCCCUUUUGUUGGGAAAGAAAAGCAGCAGGUUAAUACCCCGCUGUUCUGACGGUACCCAAAGAAUAAGCACCGGCUAACUUCGUG
RNAcentral lists this ribosomal RNA (492 nucleotides) under uncultured bacterium. RNAcentral describes it as "partial 16S ribosomal RNA". It matches the Rfam family "Bacterial small subunit ribosomal RNA", at positions 29 to 507 of the family's 1533-position model. The record is from RNAcentral.